RNAcentral lists this ribosomal RNA (460 nucleotides) under uncultured bacterium. RNAcentral describes it as "partial 16S ribosomal RNA". It matches the Rfam family "Bacterial small subunit ribosomal RNA", at positions 338 to 795 of the family's 1533-position model. The record is from RNAcentral.
CCUACGGGAGGCAGCAGUGAGGAAUAUUGGUCAAUGGACGAAAGUCUGAACCAGCCAAGUAGCGUGCAGGAUGACUGCCCUAUGGGUUGUAAACUUCUUUUAUAUGGGAAUAAAAUGUUCCACGUGUGGGAUUUUGUAUGUACCAUAUGAAUAAGGAUCGGCUAACUCCGUGCCAGCAGCCGCGGUAAUACGGAGGGUCCGAGCGUUAUCCGGAUUUAUUGGGUUUAAAGGGAGCGUAGGUGGAUUGUUAAGUCAGUUGUGAAAGUUUGCGGCUCAACCGUAAAAUUGCAGUUGAAACUGGCAGUCUUGAGUACAGUAGAGGUGGGCGGAAUUCGUGGUGUAGCGGUGAAAUGCUUAGAUAUCACGAAGAACUCCGAUUGCGAAGGCAGCUUACUGGACUGCAACUGACACUGAGGCUCGAAAGUGCGGGUAUCAAACAGGAUUAGAUACCCGUGUAGUC